RNAcentral lists this ribosomal RNA (253 nucleotides) under uncultured bacterium. RNAcentral's name for it is "partial 16S ribosomal RNA". It matches the Rfam family "Bacterial small subunit ribosomal RNA", at positions 524 to 776 of the family's 1533-position model. The record is from RNAcentral.
GACGGAAGCUGCAAGCGUCAUCCGGAAUGAUUGGGCGUAAAGCGUCCGCAGGUGGCAGUUCAAGUCUGCUGUCAAAGACCGGGGCUUAACUUCGGAAAGGCAGUGGAAACUGGACAGCUAGAGUAUGGUAGGGGCAGAGGGAAUUCCUGGUGUAGCGGUGAAAUGCGUAGAGAUCAGGAAGAACAUCGGUGGCGAAGGCGCUCUGCUGGACCAUAACUGACACUCAGGGACGAAAGCUAGGGGAGCGAAUGGG